This 816-nucleotide small RNA is filed under the name Arabidopsis thaliana (thale cress). Its description in RNAcentral is "ATSL107640". Lineage: Eukaryota; Viridiplantae; Streptophyta; Magnoliopsida; Brassicales; Brassicaceae. The record is from RNAcentral.
UCUGGCUUGGUGUUGUAGAGGAAAUACUACAACUUAUCAGUGGUUCAAACAAUCCCAAGGUAAAACCAAGAGAGACCUGUGCUACUACACAGUAAAUGACAAUGAUCAUGCCCAAAAUUCUUGGGUUAAAGAUAUGUUUUCUUUGUUUGAUAUAUUGAUAAAAAACCGAGAAUGUAACAUACUAGAUUUUAACCCGCGGUACACCGCGGAGACAAUUAAUUUUUUAAUAUAUAUAAAAGUUUGCAAAUUGUAUCUAUAUAUAAAAUAUUUUUAUUUUAAAGUUUACAAUUGUUAUUAAAUAAUGUCCUGUCAAACUCGUCUCGUAAAAACCUAUUUAUUUUAUUAAUGUUGAUUUUAUUUAUGAUAUGUUUAUAAAUCAUUGUAUAAAUAUUUUGUAAUUUUGUAGUAAUUAACUGCUAUCAAAUAUUUCUGCAGUUUGAUGCUUAUAAUCGAAUUGUUAUAGUCAUGAAAAAAGCAAUAUCAAAAAUGAUAAUUUUGUAGUGUUUAAAUGAUAUUAAAUAUUUUGGAAGUUUUAUUUUAGUAACUAAUUGUGUAGUUAAUGUGGAGAGAUUUUGGGAAGAUAGUUAAAUGUCAAAUAUUUAAUUCGAAGAUUUACUUUCUAAUUAUCAAAAAUAAUUAUUAAAUGUCAGUGGCAGCUACUGUAAAUAAGUCCCAACUUGAUGAUUUAUUUCACAAAAUGGCUGCAAAAAUGUAUAUAUAGAUUAUAUCUCAUAUGUUCUUUCAGGAAAACGGUAGUCAUAUAUGGGACACCGAUGAGGCAAAAGAAUAUCUUGACAGGCAAGCACAAACUUUAGA